RNAcentral lists this long non-coding RNA (269 nucleotides) under Phoenix dactylifera (date palm). RNAcentral describes it as "long non-coding RNA (PDAC_LNC009700)". The record is from RNAcentral. Lineage: Eukaryota; Viridiplantae; Streptophyta; Magnoliopsida; Arecales; Arecaceae.
CUAUUUUUAUCGAAUAUCAUAACCCUCAAGUAUGAUGAACGAGAAAAUACUAAUUUUCUUAGUGGGGUUGAGAUCCAAAUUUCUUAUAAAAGACCUUGUGGGAAUCACAACAAGCCCUUAUAAGUUCAAAGGUAGGAAACUCUUUCCAAUUGCAUCCCAUGCAAUUCCCAACUUUAUCCUAUCCUCUAGCACACAUAUAAUCUUGUGGGAAUCACAACAAACUAUUGUGUCUAGUUAAGUCAAACCCUUCAUUUUUAUACAAUCAUAUU